CCUACGGGAGGCAGCAGUGAGGAAUAUUGGUCAAUGGACGAGAGUCUGAACCAGCCAAGUCGCGUGAAGGAAGACUGUCCUAUGGAUUGUAAACUUCUUUUAUCUGGGAGUAAAAUGUUCCACGCGUGGGAUUUUGUGUGUACCCUAUGAAUAAGGAUCGGCUAACUCCGUGCCAGCAGCCGCGGUAAUACGGAGGGUGCGAGCGUUAAUCGGAUUUACUGGGCGUAAAGGGCUCGUAGGCGGUAUGUCAAGUCAAGGGUGAAAUCCGGGCGCUCAACGUGGGAAGUGCCUUUGAAACUGGCAAACUUGAGUGUGUGAGAGGAUAGUGGAAUGCGAGGUGUAGGAGUGAAAUCCGUAGAUAUCUGGAGGAACAUCAGUGGCGAAGGCGACUAUCUGGCACAUAACUGACGCUGAGGAGCGAAAGCGUGGGUAGCAAACAGGAUUAGAUACCCUGGUAGUC
RNAcentral lists this ribosomal RNA (460 nucleotides) under uncultured bacterium. RNAcentral describes it as "partial 16S ribosomal RNA". It matches the Rfam family "Bacterial small subunit ribosomal RNA", at positions 338 to 795 of the family's 1533-position model. The record is from RNAcentral.